This 492-nucleotide long non-coding RNA is filed under the name Sus scrofa (pig). Its description in RNAcentral is "lncRNA (ENSSSCG00050029833.1)". The record is from RNAcentral. Lineage: Eukaryota; Metazoa; Chordata; Mammalia; Artiodactyla; Suidae.
AUGACGCUUUGGAGCAUCACCCUGAGACUGGGACUAAAGUCUACCAGGGCCAGGGGAACCGAGAAGAGCAGGCUGCAGAGGCGGCUCCGCCUGCCUGGGGCAGGCAAGAAACCCAAGACGCUGGUCAGGCUUGAUGUCUGGGUGCUUCUGGCAACCUGCUGCGCCAUUGUCUGGCUGAAUAAGAGACACGCAGGUGAUGCGAAUGAAUACAGCUCAGAAUUCUUCCGAAGGAAGAAAAGGACGACGAACCCGGCGACCUGCAGUGCGGAGAUGGAGAGAUCCGGCAGCCACCGUUGCGCACUUCCCAGACAUACCAGGGGGGAGGAAAAGGAAAGGCGACGGACCUGAGAAUUAAGGCUCUGCAGCCUCACGUGCCAGGAGCAUUCUCCAUCUCUUCCUUCUCUCACCCCUUGCCCCCACCAGUCUCCACUGAAACUGGAGCUGCCCACAGGCUGUCAGAUGAGAGAUAAAGGAGCCUGGCGGCACCCAGGC